RNAcentral lists this transfer RNA (71 nucleotides) under Marmota marmota marmota (Alpine marmot). It matches the Rfam family "tRNA". Rfam says of the family: Transfer RNA (tRNA) molecules are approximately 80 nucleotides in length. Their secondary structure includes four short double-helical elements and three loops (D, anti-codon, and T loops). Further hydrogen bonds mediate the characteristic L-shaped molecular structure. tRNAs have two regions of fundamental functional importance: the anti-codon, which is responsible for specific mRNA codon recognition, and the 3' end, to which the tRNAs corresponding amino acid is attached (by aminoacyl-tRNA synthetases). tRNAs cope with the degeneracy of the genetic code in two manners: having more than one tRNA (with a specific anti-codon) for a particular amino acid; and 'wobble' base-pairing, i.e. permitting non-standard base-pairing at the 3rd anti-codon position. RNAcentral also lists the same sequence under 1 other name. Lineage: Eukaryota; Metazoa; Chordata; Mammalia; Rodentia; Sciuridae. The record is from Rfam by way of RNAcentral.
GGUGGGGUGGCUCAGUGGUAGAGUGCAGGCCUGCAGGCCUGAGGCCCUGGGUUCCAUCCCCAGCUCCCCCC